UACGGGGGGAGCAAGCGUUGUUCGGAUUCACUGGGCGUAAAGGGUGCGUAGGCGGUCGGGUAAGUCUGAUGUGAAAUCUCACAGCUUAACUGUGAAACUGCAUUGGAUACUAUUCGGCUUGAGAGUUGGAGGGGGGACUGGAAUUCUUGGUGUAGCAGUGAAAUGCGUAGAUAUCAAGAGGAACACCAGUGGCGAAGGCGAGUCCCUGGACAACUUCUGACGCUGAGGCACGAAAGUGUGGGGAGCGAACAGG
RNAcentral lists this ribosomal RNA (253 nucleotides) under uncultured bacterium. RNAcentral describes it as "partial 16S ribosomal RNA". It matches the Rfam family "Bacterial small subunit ribosomal RNA", at positions 524 to 776 of the family's 1533-position model. The record is from RNAcentral.